Molecule: ribosomal RNA, 253 nt
Filed under: uncultured bacterium
Lineage: Bacteria
Description: partial 16S ribosomal RNA
Rfam family: Bacterial small subunit ribosomal RNA
Source: RNAcentral
UACAGAGGGUGCAAGCGUUAAUCGGAAUUACUGGGCGUAAAGCGCACGUAGGCGGUUUUUUAAGUCAGAUGUGAAAGCCCCGGGCUCAACCUGGGAAUUGCAUUUGAAACUGGAAAGCUAGAGUGUGUGAGAGGGGGGUAGAAUUCCAAGUGUAGCGGUGAAAUGCGUAGAGAUUUGGAGGAAUACCAGUGGCGAAGGCGGCCCCCUGGCACAACACUGACGCUCAGGUGCGAAAGCGUGGGGAGCAAACAGG